CAGUCGAACGUGAAACCCGGGCUUGCCCGGGUGGAAAGUGGCGAACGGGUGCGUAACACGUGAGGAACGUGCCCCGAAGACCGGGAUAACUCGAGGAAACUCGUGCUAAUACCGGAUGUCCUCACCGGAUCGCAUGGUCUGGUGAGGAAAUGGAUUCCGCUUCGGGAUCGCCUCGCGGCCUAUCAGCUUGUUGGUGGGGUAAUGGCCUACCAAGGCAACGACGGGUAGCUGGUCUGAGAGGAUGUCCAGCCACACUGGGACUGAGACACGGCCCAGACUCCUACGGGAGGCAGCAGUGGGGAAUCUUGCACAAUGGGCGAAAGCCUGAUGCAGCGACGCCGCGUGCGGGAUGAAGGCCCUCGGGUCGUAAACCGCUUUCAGCAGGGACGAUAGUGACGGUACCUGCAGAAGAAGCCCCGGCCAACUACGUGCCAGCAGCCGCGGUAAUACGUAGGGGGCAAGCGUUGUCCGGAUUUAUUGGGCGUAAAGAGCUCGUAGGCGGUUCGAUAAGUCGGGUGUGAAAUCUCCAGGCUCAACCUGGAGGCGCCACUCGAUACUGUCGUGACUUGAGUUCGGUAGAGGAGUAUGGAAUUCCCGGUGUAGCGGUGAAAUGCGCAGAUAUCGGGAGGAACACCCGUAGCGAAGGCGGUACUCUGGGCCGAGACUGACGCUGAGGAGCGAAAGCGUGGGGAGCGAACAGGAUUAGAUACCCUGGUAGUCCACGCCGUAAACGUUGGGCACUGGUGUGGGGAUCUAUCGACGGUUUCCGUGCCGUAGCUAACGCAUUAAGUGCCCC
RNAcentral lists this ribosomal RNA (796 nucleotides) under uncultured microorganism. Its description in RNAcentral is "bacterial SSU rRNA". It matches the Rfam family "Bacterial small subunit ribosomal RNA", at positions 59 to 870 of the family's 1533-position model. The record is from RNAcentral.